Molecule: unclassified non-coding RNA, 351 nt
Filed under: soil metagenome
Description: partial contains 5.8S ribosomal RNA, internal transcribed spacer 2, and large subunit ribosomal RNA
Rfam family: 5.8S ribosomal RNA (bases 1-120)
Source: RNAcentral
GAUGAAGAACGUAGCGAAAUGCGAUAAGUAAUGUGAAUUGCAGAAUUCAGUGAAUCAUCGAAUCUUUGAACGCACAUUGCGCCCGCCAGUAUUCUGGCGGGCAUGCCUGUUCGAGCGUCAUUACAACCCUCAGGCCUCCGGGCCUGGCGUUGGGGAUCGGCGGAGCCCCCCGUGGGCACACGCCGUCCCCCAAAUACAGUGGCGGUCCCGCCGCAGCUUCCAUUGCGUAGUAGCUAACACCUCGCAACUGGAGAGCGGCGCGGCCACGCCGUAAAACACCCAACUUCUGAAUGUUGACCUCGAAUCAGGUAGGAAUACCCGCUGAACUUAAGCAUAUCAAUAAGCGGAGGA